This 300-nucleotide long non-coding RNA is filed under the name Elaeis guineensis (African oil palm). Its description in RNAcentral is "long non-coding RNA (EGUI_LNC018546)". The record is from RNAcentral. Lineage: Eukaryota; Viridiplantae; Streptophyta; Magnoliopsida; Arecales; Arecaceae.
GUAAGAACUAUUAAAGGUUAGCCAUUUCAACAUUAGUGAGAGACAACAAAAGUAAUUUUCUAAUUAGUUUAAAGAGCAUGUAAAUUGUUCAUUUUCAAAUAAGACAAUUUAAUACUGUUAGCAAGAAACUUAUAACAUGUAUAAUUUGAUUUUUGUAUUUAUUAUGUAGAUGAAUCAAUUAUAUUAUCAAGGAUGUAAAGAAGCCAUAGAUGAAUUAUGGGUGUUAGUAAAUGGUCCCCAUAAAUCUAGCACAAGAUGUUACUCUGGUUGUAUUAUGAAUGAAGUUCGAUUUCAUACAAA